This 417-nucleotide ribosomal RNA is filed under the name uncultured bacterium. RNAcentral's name for it is "bacterial SSU rRNA". It matches the Rfam family "Bacterial small subunit ribosomal RNA", at positions 355 to 786 of the family's 1533-position model. The record is from RNAcentral.
UGGGGAAUAUUGGGCAAUGGGCGAAAGCCUGACCCAGCAACGCCGCGUGAGGGAAGAAGGGUUUCGGCUCGUAAACCUCUGUCCUAUGGGACGAAGGAAGUGACGGUACCAUAGGAGGAAGCCCCGGCUAACUACGUGCCAGCAGCCGCGGUAAUACGUAGGGGGCGAGCGUUGUCCGGAAUGAUUGGGCGUAAAGGGGCGCGUAGGCGGCCUGCUAAGUCUGGAGUGAAAGUCCUGCUUUCAAGGUGGGAAUUGCUUGGAUACUGGGAGGCUGGAGUGCAGGAGAGGAAAGCGGAAUUACCGGUGUAGCGGUGAAAUGCGUAGAGAUCGGUAGGAACACCAGUGGCGAAGGCGGCUUUCUGGACGGUAACUGACGUUGAGGCUCGAAAGCGUGGGGAGCAAACAGGAUUAGAUACC